This 199-nucleotide ribosomal RNA is filed under the name uncultured bacterium. RNAcentral's name for it is "partial 16S ribosomal RNA". It matches the Rfam family "Bacterial small subunit ribosomal RNA", at positions 63 to 290 of the family's 1533-position model. The record is from RNAcentral.
CCAACGCAUCCUUCGGGGUGAGUGGCACACGGGUGAGUAACACGUGGGAACGUACCCUUCCAUCUGGGAUAACUUCGGGAAACUGGAGCUAAUACCGGAUACCCCCUUUGGGGGAAAGGUUUACUGUCUAAGGAUCGGCCCGCGUCUGAUUAGCUAGUUGGUGGGGUAACGGCCUACCAUGGCGACGAUCAGUCCUGGU